This 302-nucleotide long non-coding RNA is filed under the name Homo sapiens (human). Its description in RNAcentral is "non-protein coding lnc-LINC02203-2:2". Lineage: Eukaryota; Metazoa; Chordata; Mammalia; Primates; Hominidae. The record is from RNAcentral.
GAAGAAGAAAGUGCCAAGAAAAAGCAUUUGGAUAAGAAGAGAAAAUUGAAGGAGAUGUUUGAUGUGGAAUAUGAUGAAGGAGAAAGCACAUAUUUUGAUGAUCUUAAAGGAGAAAUGCAGAAACAAGCACAGCUGAAUCAUGCAGAAUUUGAAGAUCAAGAUGAUGAAGCCAGAGUUCAGUAUGAGGGUUUUCGACCUGGGAUGUACGUCCGCGUUGAGAUUGAAAAUGUUCCCUGUGAAUUUGUGCAGAACAUUGACCCCCAUUACCCCAUUAUCCUGGGUGGCUUGGGCAACAGCGAGGG